Molecule: long non-coding RNA, 336 nt
Organism: Pelmatolapia mariae (spotted tilapia)
Lineage: Eukaryota; Metazoa; Chordata; Actinopteri; Cichliformes; Cichlidae
Exons: 3
Source: RefSeq, a predicted model, not a curated record
CAGUCUCGGUCGGUCGACCUGCCUCGUGCCAAUUUAUGGGCGUCAUCAGGCCGGAAGGUGUUUCCCGUGUUGAAGCCGCCACACAUGUCUUCCGUCUAGAUUGGCCGCUACUUAACUGUUUGACUGAGCUUCAGUCAACGCUGGAUCAUUGAGUUACCAAGAACUUGGAGAGGAGUGUGUCACAGGAGCGAAGUGUUUGUAAAUGUCGAGUGUUGGAGUUGUUUUCCUGUCACACCUGGACCACCAGCACAGUCCUGCAGGAUGGGAAAGUCCUGCAUUUGGGCCCCGUUCUCGCCACGCACCUUAACAUAAAUAAUAAACACUUUGAUUGAGAAA